AAGAAGGUGACGUUGUAAGUGAGCGACGGCUUCUCGGCAGUGGCUCCAGAGGAAGCUCGGCGGCUGUGGCCGUUGUAAGCAGGCCGGACGUCUGCUGGCUGACGGGCUUUCCCCUAAAGCUGGCGAAGGCGGGGCCGCAGUCCGAACUGCCGCAGUAUCUGGACCCACGGCGGGGCAGGUGCCGGCAGCGAGGGACGUAGCUGCAUUCAGAUCUCAUUAUGCAUCAGAAAAAUGAAAAAACAGAGGAAAAUUCUAUGGAGGAAAGGAAUCCACUUAGCUUUUUCUGAGAAAUGGAAUACUGGGUUUGGAGGCUUUAAGAAGUUCUACUUUCACCAACAGUUGUGCAUUCUGAAAGCCAAGUUGGGAAGGCCAGUUACUUGGAGCAGGCAUUUAAGGCAUUUCCAGUGCAGAAAGAAGGCCCUUCAAUUCCAGAAAACGUGGAUCCAGGAUGAACCCCUUUUUGCUAAGGCAAAGUCCAAUGUGGCUGUUCAGAAUCUUAGUACUUUUUCCUCUAAAGUGAAAGGAAAGGACACUAAACACUUCAUUUCCUCCUCAAGGACCUUCCUGAAACUCCAAGCAGAGAAGUUGCUAUCAUCAGCAAAGAACUCUGAUCAUGAAUACUCUGGAGAGAAAAGUCUCUUGAAGGCAGCCACUGACAUACCAGCAAAUAGUGUUUUAAGUCAGGCCAGUGGUCACAGACCUAGGACGGAGCCACAAGCUUCUGAUCCUCCUAUGAAGUUCAAUGGGGAGAGCCAGAGUCCAGGUGAGAGUGGCACAAUUGUGGUCACCUUGAGCAACCAUAAGAGAAAGUGCUUUUGUUAUGGCUGCUGCCGAGGGCUGGAGCACCACAGGAAUGGGGGACCCCUGAUUCCAAGAAAGUUCCAACUUAAUCAACAUAGAAGAAUAAAAGUAUCUCCUCAUAUGAUGUAUGAGAAAUUAUCCAUGAUUAGAUUUCGGUACAGGAUUCUCAGAUCCCAGCACUUCAGAACAAAAAGCAAAGUUUGCAAGCUAAAAAAAGCCCAGCGAAGCUGGGUGCAGGUCACUGGGGACCAUCAAGAGACCCUUAGGGAGAACAGUGAGGGUGGCAGUUGCAGCUUAUUCCCUUCCCCAGAACCUAAAGACCCUUCUUGUCGGCAUCAACCAUACCUUCCAGAUAUGGACAGCAAUGCUGUGGUGAAGGGAAAGAACUCUCAUGUGCCUGAUGGCCACACUAAAGGAAGCCCUCUCUUGGGCAAGGAGCUUAGUUUAGAUGAAGCAUUCCCUGACCAACAGAAUGGCAGUGCCACAUACAUCUGGGACCAGUCACCCUGUUCCUCUCCUAAGUGGGAGUGUACAGAGCUGAUUCAUGACAUCCCCUUACCAGAACAUCAUUCUAAUAACAUGUUUAUCUCGGAAACCGAGGGAGAAGUUAUGGCUCUGGGUCAGGAAAAUCGGACAAGUACUGUCAAUGAUGACAGAGUAAAACUGUCAGUGUCUGGGGCAGAUCAAUCUGUGAGUAGUGUAGAUGGGCCUGUGUCCGAAGAGACUGUUCAGAAUGAGAGUUCAUGCCAGAUGGAUGAGGAUGGAUCUUUCAAGCAGAACAUUCUUAGUUCUAAGUUGCUGGACCACCCUUACUGUAAAAGUCCACUGGAGGCUCCUCUGACGUGCAGUGGACUCAAACUAGAAAAUCAAGUGGGAGGUGGGAAGAACAGUCAAAAAGCCUCUCCAGUGGAUGAUGAACAGCUGUCAAUCUGCCUUUCUGGAUUCCUAGAUGAGGUUAUGAAGAAGUAUGGCAGUUUGGUCCCACUCAGUGAAAAAGAUGUCCUUGGAAGAUUAAAAGAUGUCUUUAAUGAAGACUUUUCUAAUAGAAAACCUUUUAUCAAUAGGGAGAUAACAAACUAUCGGGCCAGACAUCAAAAAUGCAACUUCCGCAUCUUCUACAAUAAGCACAUGCUGGAUAUGGAUGAUCUGGCAACCCUGGAUGGUCAGAAUUGGCUGAAUGACCAGGUCAUUAAUAUGUACGGUGAGCUGAUAAUGGAUGCAGUCCCAGACAAAGUUCACUUCUUCAACAGCUUUUUUCAUAGACAGCUGGUAACCAAAGGAUAUAAUGGAGUAAAAAGAUGGACUAAAAAGGUGGAUUUGUUUAAAAAGAGUCUUCUGUUGAUUCCUAUUCACCUGGAAGUCCACUGGUCUCUCAUUACUGUGACACUCUCUAAUCGAAUUAUUUCAUUUUAUGAUUCCCAAGGCAUUCAUUUUAAGUUUUGUGUAGAGUAUUUAUUUAAGUUUCAAAUUCAGCAAGUUGACUUACUCCUGGAAAAGGCUGACCAUCUCAUAAAAAGAUCUAAUUAAAGCAUAUACCAGUGUCCACAGUCUAAGUGCAUACAGUACAGAAGGUCUGAGUCCUUCACUCUAUAAAUUGAAAAAGGUCUGAAAUCAAGUUCCAGCUUUAAACUCUUUAAUGCAUACUCUGCCCAGUGGUGGGGCCACAGCCUCCUCCUUUGCUUCUGUCUGCUGCGGGCAGGUUCCAUUUUUCACCAACUGAUGGAACACAGCAUCUGUGUUGUGGUUUCUUUUUAACCAGAAUAUAAGAAAGUAUUUGCUGACUGAAGCCAGAGAAAAAAAUAGACCUGAAUUUCUUCAGGGUUGGCAGACUGCUGUUACCAAGGUAAGUAAGUGAUAAAAAUGAAAACCCAGGCAUGUCAAGGGGCUGGAAUUGUCUAAGGGGUGGGUGUCUUUAAAAGCACAUGAAGACUGAUCAUGAAGAUACCAAUAGAGAGCCUAGAGGCUGCAGGGAGGCAGCUCAGAGUAAACCUCAGUUCAGUAUUCAUCACCUGGCUGCCCAAUUUCCCACUGCCUGCUGGGGCAAAUAAAUUCAGUCAUUUCAUCCUGGGGGCAGCUGCUGCUGAUAUAGUUGCUCUGUUGAAAAAAAGGAAAAAAAAAUUUUUUUGGUGGCACCUGCCUCUUGCCUCAUGGCUCUUAUUUCCAGAUGACUCAUGUAGACCCAGAGAAAUACUGACAUGACUAUUUGCAUUCACUAAGGGAGCAAGUGUACUGGGCUGCUUUCCAGGCAUUUGGGGAAGACAAGUGGCCUGAGUGCUUCAGUCUGAACAGUCUAGAAGCAGCACUGUGUUUGGCCAUAGACAUAAAAGCUGUAUGCGGGGCAGAGUGAGCAGGCCUAGCCUUUUAACCCUGUCACAAAUAUCAGUGUCUUCUGUUUUAUGGGCACUGCUUUGUUUUCAUAGUGUUUUUCUAUGUAUGAUCUCAUUUGAUCCUUACAGUCUGUGAGGUAGGCAGGUCAUUUAGGGAUAAGAAGCUCUUUAUUGUAGAUGAGAAAGCUGAAUCCUAGGUGUGAGCUUCCCCAAAGGCCAUCAAAACUAUUGACAGAGUGAAGUCUUUGAACUCAGGUCUAUCCGGAUCAAAGACACUGUUAAAAAGGCAGGGUCUUGAAAUAAACCUUUAACCCAAACCCAAAGGGACAAGGCUUAUUUGUUUAUCCUUGAACUGUACUAUAUGCUAACUUCUAAACUUAUGUUUUGUAUUUUAAAUAACCUAGUAUAUUAGUUCAAACCAGAACUGAACUUGUGAAUAUUCUGAAUUUACCCAGUAGUAUAUGCAGGUAUUCUAAAUUUAAUCAGGAUCUUUCAUAUUCCAACACUUUAGGCAGAGUACAGUAACCAGUUCUUUGGAAAACAUACUGCUUACCUUUACCAUGUCUUUAAAAGAAUAGGACAGAGUUGUGAAAUAUGAGAUGAAAAGGGAAGACUACCAAGCAGCAUUGUUACUACGUAUUCAGAGUCCAGGCCAUGCACUGCGUUCUCUGAUCCACAAUUCCAUUUUGAUUCCAUUGUCAGUGAAUUGAUAGCAAAACUAAUUAUCCAAAUGGAAGUUUUAAAAUAGGAUUUUAUUUGAUUUCCCGCUUCUCAUAUUUAGGCAAAAUGUUCUAAGUUGUGGUUGAUUGAUAGCUCUUUUCAUGGCCAGAUGCCUCCAUAAACUCAAACACUUUGAAUACCAGAGGUACACACCAGCUGUCUUGGAUACAGACAAGUUUCCUGUCUCGCUCAUUUUUCCAUAAAAACAGCUUUUCUUAUCUGAAGAGGAAUACUUGGUUUUAAUGAUCGUUUUGUUUUUCCCCGUAGUGUAUUCCACAACAGAAAAAUGACAGUGACUGUGGAGUAUUUGUGCUCCAGACCCUAUUCUUUUAGGUCUGCAUCUAGUAAAAUACAUUAGGCUGGUACAUAACUCCACGUGCCACUUAAGUGUUUCUGGGACCUUUGCAGUACUGCAAGUGCCUCGCCUUAGAGCAGCCUUUCCAGUUUUCCCAAGAAGACAUGCCCCGAGUGCGGAAGAGGAUUUACAAGGAGCUGUGUGAGUGCCGGCUCAUGGACUGAAACUCAGCAGGGACUCUGGGAAGUCUGACCAAGUUGGAGCAGAUGGUUUGUUACUUGAAUCUCCAAACACUUAUUUGAAUUUUUACAGAUAUUUCAGAUCAGUGGUGUUGGACCACUGUUGUUACCUCAAAUUUAUUUUCUGCCCUUACUCAUUUCCCUAGUUACUAUGUACUAUUUUUUAAUGUUCAGUUUGGUUUCAUUUUUAAUUUUAUGGAUUCUGUGUGUGUGUGUCCCCCCAUAUUUAAUAUUUAUUAUCCAAACGCAUGCAUAUAGACAGAGCAUGCAGUGCAGAGUAUUAAAAAAAAAAAAAAAGCCUAGUAGAUUUGGUGCAGCUUUUGAAACUUAGUUAGAUGUGAAUACAGGUUUAAAUUUUAAUUCCAGAACCUAUAAAAAUGCAGGAUGUUUUUGAUACAACGUAACUCUGAGAAUAGUAGAUGUUCCCUGGGGCAUAAAGGGUAGCUAGAAGGGGUUUCAGACAAAGCCAGUCCUGUUUUAUUUUUACCAGCAGCACCUUACACUGACUUCCCUCUCCAAGUGAGUCACAUUCCUUUUGAAGGGUGAAAAGGAAGUGGCCAUAAACUGACUGGUAUGUUCUAUUUAUGGAGGCACACUUGUAAGCACAGUGCCUGCUUUGGGAAGAGUUGAUUAAGGUAUGAGAAAAAGACAGCGACCUUGAGGGUCCAUUUAUCUUCACACAUGAGAGAUUUCAAUCUUGGUUUUAAGAAGCAUUUAUAAUAAAUGCUUUAAUCUUACAAAGGCUUUUGCUGGAACACUGAUUCCCUGGAUUUUUCUGGUUUUGACCCAUUAAAAAAUUAGUAUCUGUCAAAACUAGUGGUCAAACAAAUGAGAAUUCAGCCUUUCUACAGCAAUUGUUUCCCAUAUGGAAGAAAUUCAGAUUUGCCAAAUACCUUUCUAUUUCAAGGGUAUUUAAAAUAUAAACAUUCAAAACCGAAGACUGACUUCAGGUAUUUUGCACGUGGGUGGAGAGGAGAGAACAGGAAAGGUAUUAAGGGAGACAUGAAACUGUGGGAGUACAGCAAAUGUUAUGAGUUUUUUCCCUCUUAUUUCUCUAGUGAUCUCAACAGCAUGCAGGGCUCAUCUGCCUCUGCUUGACCAACCCUGAGACUCUAGCACAGGAGUCCUUUUUUUUGCUUCCAUGAACCUCAUCUUCUGGGGGAAGGCAGAAGUGGCCCUGUCCUGAUUUAUUACCCUUGGCUGCAUUAGGAUUAAAGUAAUGGAUCUUGCAUCUUUAAUCUAACAAAGUUUUGUGAUAUUGGAAAGGAAAGGAAAUAGGGAAAGAUGCAUGUUAAACUACAUCUUUUCUGAACUGGGGGAGGAAAAACAACAAACGUGUAUACAAGAAAUUCAGAAGCUUGUACAGAAAAAUACCAAGUAAAUGGCAGAAGAUGCUUUGGUUUAUGCCUCGUUAGGUGUGAGGUGUUGAAAAUAAAAAGCUAAAAUGUGCAGUUUAACUUGGCCAUAAGGUAGGGCUGACUGCCAGCAGUUGAGGGUGGAGUCAGAACAUGUUUACAUGCAGGGUUCCCAUCCCCAGAUCCAAGCACCAACACCAAUGUUUACAUUGUAAACAGCCCCAGCACUUUCCUAGUCACUCAAACUCCUUAGUAUAAUAUAAAACCAGGUCAGUAUUUCUUAUUGUGCUUCAAGUCAUUAAAAAGACUGCUAUUAGAGGCACUUUGUGCUGCUACAGGUAGGGUUGUAUCAGCAUUAGGAAAGGUGACAAAAUGGGUUGGGUGUCUUCUUGAGGUUUUCAGGCAUAAUUAUACAAACAUGAGAUUUUUCAAACCUGUAUGUGAGACAUUUGCCUUUUUUUUUUUUU
Molecule: RNA transcript, 6204 nt
Organism: Orcinus orca (killer whale)
Lineage: Eukaryota; Metazoa; Chordata; Mammalia; Artiodactyla; Delphinidae
Gene: SENP5
Gene name: SUMO specific peptidase 5
Exons: 9
Source: RefSeq, a predicted model, not a curated record